This 71-nucleotide transfer RNA is filed under the name Cordylochernes scorpioides. RNAcentral's name for it is "tRNA-Gly". It matches the Rfam family "tRNA". Rfam says of the family: Transfer RNA (tRNA) molecules are approximately 80 nucleotides in length. Lineage: Eukaryota; Metazoa; Arthropoda; Arachnida; Pseudoscorpiones; Chernetidae. The record is from RNAcentral.
GCAUCGGUGGUUCAGUGGCAGAAUGCUCGCCUGCCACGCGGGCGGCCCAGGUUCGAUUCCCAACUGAUGUA